GAAAUGCGAUAAGUAAUGUGAAUUGCAGAAUUCAGUGAAUCAUCGAAUCUUUGAACGCAUCUUGCGCUCCUUGGUAUUCCUUGGAGCAUGCCUGUUUGAGUAUCAUGAAAUCUUCAAAGUAAAUCUUUUGUUAACUCAAUUGGUUUCUACUUUGGUAUUGGAGGUCUUUGCAGCUUCACACCUGCUCCUCUUUGUUCAUUAGCUGGAUCUCAGUGUUAUGCUUGGUUCCACUCGGCGUGAUAAGUUAUCUAUCGCUGAGGACACUGUAAAAGGUGGCCAAGGUAAAUGCAGAUGAACCGCUUCUAAUAGUCCAUUGACUUGGACAAUACUUUUAUGAUCUGAUCUCAAAUCAGGUAAGACUACCCGCUGAACUUAAGC
RNAcentral lists this unclassified non-coding RNA (378 nucleotides) under plant metagenome. RNAcentral describes it as "partial contains 5.8S ribosomal RNA, internal transcribed spacer 2, and large subunit ribosomal RNA". The stretch from base 1 to 105 matches the Rfam family "5.8S ribosomal RNA", at positions 50 to 154 of the family's 154-position model. The record is from RNAcentral.